GACAGAGGUGGCGAGCGUUGCUCGGAUUUACUGGGCUUAAAGGGCGCGUAGGUGGCCUUGUAAGUCAAAGGUGGAAUUCCACAGCUCAACUGUGGAACUGCCUUUGAUACUGCAAGGCUUGAGUCAGGUAGAGGAGGGCGGAAUUCCCGGUGUAGCGGUGAAAUGCGUAGAUAUCGGGAGGAAGGCCGGUGGCGAAGGCGGCCCUCUGGGCCUGUACUGACACUGAGGCGCGAAAGCUAGGGGAGCAAACCGG
RNAcentral lists this ribosomal RNA (253 nucleotides) under uncultured microorganism. RNAcentral's name for it is "partial 16S ribosomal RNA". It matches the Rfam family "Bacterial small subunit ribosomal RNA", at positions 524 to 776 of the family's 1533-position model. The record is from RNAcentral.